GAGGGAAUAUUGGGCAAUGGGCGAGAGCCUGACCCAGCGACGCCGCGUGAGGGAAGAAGGUCCUCGGAUCGUAAACCUCUGUCAGGAGGGGAGAAGUUAUAUGUGCUUAACAGGUGCAUAUAUUGACGGUACCUCCAGAGGAAGCGCCGGCCAACUCCGUGCCAGCAGCCGCGGUAAUACGGAGGGCGCAAGCGUUAUUCGGAAUCACUGGGCGUAAAGCGCGCGUAGGCGGCCAUGCAAGUCAGGUGUGAAAGCCCUCGGCUUAACCGGGGAAUUGCACUUGAAACUGUGUGGCUAGAGUUCGGGAGAGGGUGGCGGAAUUCCAGGUGUAGAAGUGAAACCCGUAGAUAUCUGGAGGAACACCAGAGGCGAAGGCGGCCACCUGGACUGAAACUGACGCUGAGGCGCGAAAGCGUGGGUAGCAAACAGGAUUAGAUACCCUGGUAAUCCACGCUGUAAACGAUGGAUGCUAAAUGCAGGGGACGUUAGAGUUUUCUGUGUUGCAGCUAACGCGUUAAGCAUCCCGCCUGGGGAGUACGGUCGCAAGGCUG
Molecule: ribosomal RNA, 551 nt
Filed under: uncultured bacterium
Lineage: Bacteria
Description: bacterial SSU rRNA
Rfam family: Bacterial small subunit ribosomal RNA
Source: RNAcentral